Molecule: ribosomal RNA, 638 nt
Filed under: Halomonas sp.
Lineage: Bacteria; Pseudomonadati; Pseudomonadota; Gammaproteobacteria; Oceanospirillales; Halomonadaceae
Description: bacterial SSU rRNA
Rfam family: Bacterial small subunit ribosomal RNA
Source: RNAcentral
CUUGCUAGAUGCUGACGAGCGGCGGACGGGUGAGUAAUGCAUAGGAAUCUGCCCGGUAGUGGGGGAUAACCUGGGGAAACCCAGGCUAAUACCGCAUACGUCCUACGGGAGAAAGGGGGCUUCGGCUCCCGCUACGGGAUGAGCCUAUGUCGGAUUAGCUAGUUGGUAGGGUAAUGGCCUACCAAGGCAACGAUCCGUAGCUGGUCUGAGAGGAUGAUCAGCCACAUCGGGACUGAGACACGGCCCGAACUCCUACGGGAGGCAGCAGUGGGGAAUAUUGGACAAUGGGGGCAACCCUGAUCCAGCCAUGCCGCGUGUGUGAAGAAGGCCCUCGGGUUGUAAAGCACUUUCAGCGAGGAAGAACGCCUAGUGGUUAAUACCCAUUAGGAAAGACAUCACUCGCAGAAGAAGCACCGGCUAACUCCGUGCCAGCAGCCGCGGUAAUACGGAGGGUGCAAGCGUUAAUCGGAAUUACUGGGCGUAAAGCGCGCGUAGGUGGCUUGAUAAGCCGGUUGUGAAAGCCCCGGGCUCAACCUGGGAACGGCAUCCGGAACUGUCAGGCUAGAGUGCAGGAGAGGAAGGUAGAAUUCCCGGUGUAGCGGUGAAAUGCGUAGAGAUCGGGAGGAAUACCAGUGGCG